This 443-nucleotide ribosomal RNA is filed under the name uncultured bacterium. RNAcentral's name for it is "partial 16S ribosomal RNA". It matches the Rfam family "Bacterial small subunit ribosomal RNA", at positions 338 to 795 of the family's 1533-position model. The record is from RNAcentral.
CCUACGGGUGGCAGCAGUGGGGAAUAUUGCACAAUGGGCGAAAGCCUGAUGCAGCAACGCCGCGUGAAGGAAGAAGGGUUUCGGCUCGUAAACUUCUAUCAACAGGGACGAAAGAAAUGACGGUACCUGCCUAAGAAGCUCCCGCUACCUACGUGCCAGCAGCCGCGGUACUACGUAGGGGGCAAGCGUUAUCCGGAAUUACUGGGUGUAAAGGGUGAGUAGGCGGCGUGGUAAGCCAGAUGUGAAAGCCUUGGGCUUAACCCGAGGAUUGCAUUUGGUACUAGCAAGCUAGAGUACAGGAGAGGAGGGCAGAAUUCCUGGUGUAGCGGUGAAAUGCGUAGAGAUUAGGAAGAACACCAGUGGCGAAGGCGGCUUUCUGGACUGAAACUGACGCUGAGGCGCGAAAGCGUGGGGAGCGAACAGGAUUAGAUACCCGAGUAGUC